This 497-nucleotide ribosomal RNA is filed under the name uncultured bacterium. RNAcentral describes it as "partial 16S ribosomal RNA". It matches the Rfam family "Bacterial small subunit ribosomal RNA", at positions 28 to 507 of the family's 1533-position model. The record is from RNAcentral.
GAUGAACGCUGGCGGCGUGCCUAAUACAUGCAAGUCGAGCGAACAGACGAGGAGCUUGCUCCUCUGACGUUAGCGGCGGACGGGUGAGUAACACGUGGAUAACCUACCUAUAAGACUGGGAUAACUUCGUGAAACCGGAGCUAAUACCGGAGAAUAUAUUGAACCGCAUGGUUCAAUAGUGAAAGACGGUUUUGCUGUCACUUAUAGAUGGAUCCGCGCCGCAUUAGCUAGUUGGUAAGGUAACGGCUUACCAAGGCAACGAUGCGUAGCCGACCUGAGAGGGUGAUCGGCCACACUGGAACUGAGACACGGUCCAGACUCCUACGGGAGGCAGCAGUAGGGAAUCUUCCGCAAUGGGCGAAAGCCUGACGGAGCAACGCCGCGUGAGUGAUGAAGGUCUUCGGAUCGUAAAACUCUGUUAUUAGGGAAGAACAAAUGUGUAAGUAAAUAUGCACGUCUUGACGGUACCUAAUCAGAAAGCCACGGCUAACUACGUG